AGCACCGCAACCUGAGGAUUGUGCGGUUUAAUUGGAUUCAACGCCGGAAAACUCACCAUAGCCGACGGACAAAUGAAGGUCAGUGUAAUGAACUUACCGGAUUGUUCGAGAGGUAGCGCAUGGCCGCCGUCAGUUCGUACCGCAAGGCGUUCUGUUAAGUCAGAUAACGAACGAGACCCUCAUCUCUAUCUGCUAACUGGAUAAAAAGGAUUCAGUGCACUAUAGGGAGACCGCUGGCGCUAAGUCAGAGGAAGGGGAGGGCAACGGUAGGUCAGUAUGCUCCGAAUGCUAUGGGCUACACGCGCAAUACAAAGGACGGGACAAUGGGCUGCUGCUCCGAAAGGAACGAUAGCUAUCCCGAAACCCGUUCGUAGUUCGGAUUGAGGGCUGUAACUCGCCCUCAUGAAGCUGGAUUAGGUAGUAAUCGCGUCUCAAAAAGGCGCGGUGAAUAUGCCCCUGCUCCUUGCACACACCGCCCGUCAAACCAUCUUAGUUGUGGGUGGGUGAGGCUACCUCUCUUUGGGUAUUCGAGCCUGCCUUCGACGAGGAGGGUUAAGUCNUACU
RNAcentral lists this ribosomal RNA (564 nucleotides) under uncultured archaeon. RNAcentral's name for it is "bacterial SSU rRNA". It matches the Rfam family "Archaeal small subunit ribosomal RNA", at positions 875 to 1440 of the family's 1478-position model. The record is from RNAcentral.